CCUACGGGAGGCAGCAGUGGGGAAUAUUGCACAAUGGGGGAAACCCUGAUGCAGCGACGCCGCGUGAGUGAAGAAGUAUUUCGGUAUGUAAAGCUCUAUCAGCAGGGAAGAAAAUGACGGUACCUGAGUAAGAAGCCCCGGCUAACUACGUGCCAGCAGCCGCGGUAAUACGUAGGGGGCAAGCGUUAUCCGGAUUUACUGGGUGUAAAGGGAGCGUAGACGGUGAUGCAAGUCAGAAGUGAAAGCCCGGGGCUCAACUCCGGGACUGCUUUUGAAACUGUGUGACUGGAGUGCAGGAGAGGUAAGCGGCAUUCCUGGUGUAGCGGUGAAAUGCGUAGAUCUCAGGAGGAACACCAGUGGCGCAGGCGGCUUACUGGACUGUAACUGACGUUGAGGCUCGAAAGCGUGGGGAGCAAACAGGAUUAGAUACCCGAGUAGUC
This 440-nucleotide ribosomal RNA is filed under the name uncultured bacterium. RNAcentral describes it as "partial 16S ribosomal RNA". It matches the Rfam family "Bacterial small subunit ribosomal RNA", at positions 338 to 795 of the family's 1533-position model. The record is from RNAcentral.